Solea solea (common sole) is the source of this 350-nucleotide long non-coding RNA. RefSeq lists it as uncharacterized. The record is from RefSeq and is a predicted model, not a curated record. The transcript is spliced from 3 exons. Lineage: Eukaryota; Metazoa; Chordata; Actinopteri; Pleuronectiformes; Soleidae.
GUCGUGUUCAAAUUAGCAGGAACGAAAAUCAUGAACCUGUGGAUUUAUCUGCGACCUUUCUAAAAGUGCGACCACAUGAGGAACAUUAUGACUCACUUAUCCAGAUGAAAGUGAGGAAUCAUGGAUUCUUCUCCUCUGGGAAUCUUCAGCCCUUUGAAAAGAAAAGAGAGGUUAAAAAUUUGUUAAAUGAGUUAACAGCAGCCGGGAUCUUUCUCCGUCACAGCUCACCUGUACGCCAGCCGCAGCACGAACAGUUCGAGGAAGGCGGAUUCGAAGAGGAGAUCUUGAUCUUGCUUCGGUAAAUCAGAGAAGCCAGGGAUCUUCUCCGCCCAGCCCCGGAUGAUCUCCAU